Molecule: ribosomal RNA, 730 nt
Filed under: uncultured bacterium
Lineage: Bacteria
Description: bacterial SSU rRNA
Rfam family: Bacterial small subunit ribosomal RNA
Source: RNAcentral
CACAUGCAGUCGAGCGGAGAUAGUACGAGGAAGUUUUCGGAUGGAAUUGUAAUAUCUUAGCGGCGGACGGGUGAGUAACGCGUGAGCAACCUGCCUUUCACAGGGGGAUAAGGCGGCGAAAGCCGCUCUAAUACCGCAUGAGACCACGGUACCGAUGGUACAGGGGUCAAAGGAGCAAUCCGGUGAAAGAUGGGCUCGCGUCCGAUUAGGUAGUUGGUGGGGUAGAGGCUCACCAAGCCAAUGAUCGGUAGCCGGCCUGAGAGGGUGAACGGCCACAUUGGAACUGAGAGACGGUCCAAACUCCUACGGGAGGCAGCAGUGGGGAAUAUUGGGCAAUGGGGGAAACCCUGACCCAGCAACGCCGCGUGAAGGAAGAAGGUUUUCGGAUUGUAAACUUCUGUUCUUGGGGAAGAGAAGAAGACGGUACCCAAGGAGGAAGCCCCGGCUAACUACGUGCCAGCAGCCGCGGUAAUACGUAGGGGGCAAGCGUUGUUCGGAAUCACUGGGCGUAAAGGGCGCGUAGGCGGACGAUUAAGUCAGGGGUGAAAUCCCGGGGCUCAACCCCGGAACUGCCUUCGAUACUGGCGAUCUUGAGGAUGAGAGAGGCGAGUGGAAUUUCGAGUGUAGCAGUGAAAUGCGUAGAUAUUCGAAGGAACACCAGUGGCGAAGGCGACUCGCUGGCUCAUUUCUGACGCUGAGGCGCGAAAGCGUGGGUAGCAAACAGGAUUAG